Molecule: unclassified non-coding RNA, 270 nt
Filed under: Hevea brasiliensis (rubber tree)
Lineage: Eukaryota; Viridiplantae; Streptophyta; Magnoliopsida; Malpighiales; Euphorbiaceae
Source: RNAcentral
GGCAUCUGUAAUUUCUUUACCUUGGGAGUGGGAGGAGUGAGAUCUCAAGUUUUUCAGAAGCUGAAGCAUGGUAAACCUCAUUAGCUGCCACAAAAAUGCUAUUAUGAGCUUCUUAUUUCCUUGAACAAUGUCAUUCCCAGCAACAUUUACAAGGGAGAAAUGCAAUUCCUUCCCUAUCUGUACAACUUGGUUGCAAUUCUCAACUUUUCUAAAUGGCAUCUUUAUAGGAGGUUUAGUUGUCUGCUUCCAAUUAACUGAUCCAGGUGAAAC